GCGCUAUAAUUGUAGCUUUAAUCCAAUACAAAGUAAGAAACAAGAAAUGACAAAAAACAUAAGAAACUCGGAAUAUUAGCUUUUCCUUUUUUUUUUUUUGUUUUUACGCCUCGGCUAUUGGAUUCAAAGUCCAAUGUCCUGAUAACUAGACCAUGGAACCUUGUUCUGGUAACGGAGAUUUGAUUAUUUUAUUUAUACAUUCC
RNAcentral lists this long non-coding RNA (203 nucleotides) under Elaeis guineensis (African oil palm). Its description in RNAcentral is "long non-coding RNA (EGUI_LNC011246)". Lineage: Eukaryota; Viridiplantae; Streptophyta; Magnoliopsida; Arecales; Arecaceae. The record is from RNAcentral.